GAUUAACGCUGGCGGCGUGCAUAACACAUGCAAGUCGAACGAUGAAACUUAGUCGACUUCUUCGGAAAGACACUAAGCGGAUUAGUGGCGAACGGGUGAGUAACGCGUGAGUAACCUGCCUUACACAAGGGGAUAGCCUUUGGAAACGAAGAAUAAUACCCUAUAAAACCAUAAAAGCACAUGCUAGAAUGGUCAAAGUGAUAGCGGUGUAAGAUGGACUUGCGUCUGAUUAGCUAGUUGGUGAGAUAAAAGCUCACCAAGGCAACGAUCAGUAGCCGGCUUGAGAGAGUGUACGGCCACAUUGGGACUGAGGCACGGCCCAGACUCCUACGGGAGGCAGCAGUGGGGAAUUUUGCACAAUGGGGGAAACCCUGAUGCAGCGACGCCGCGUGAUUUAGAAGGCCUUCGGGUUGUAAAAAUCUUUUGUAUAGGAAGAAAAUGACAGUACUAUACGAAUAAGGUCCGGCUAAUUACGUG
Molecule: ribosomal RNA, 477 nt
Filed under: uncultured bacterium
Lineage: Bacteria
Description: partial 16S ribosomal RNA
Rfam family: Bacterial small subunit ribosomal RNA
Source: RNAcentral